This 437-nucleotide ribosomal RNA is filed under the name uncultured Clostridium sp. RNAcentral describes it as "partial 16S ribosomal RNA". It matches the Rfam family "Bacterial small subunit ribosomal RNA", at positions 341 to 792 of the family's 1533-position model. Lineage: Bacteria; Bacillati; Bacillota; Clostridia; Eubacteriales; Clostridiaceae. The record is from RNAcentral.
ACGGGAGGUAGCAGUGGGGAAUAUUGGGCAAUGGGCGAAAGCCUGACCCAGCGACGCCGCGUGAGGGAAGAAGGUCUUCGGAUUGUAAACCUUAGUCAACAGGGAAGAAGCAAGUGACGGUACCUGUGGAGGAAGCCACGGCUAACUACGUGCCAGCAGCCGCGGUAAUACGUAGGUGGCAAGCGUUGUCCGGAUUUACUGGGUGUAAAGGGAGCGUAGACGGCUUUGCAAGUCUGAAGUGAAAGCCCGGGGCUCAACCCCGGAACUGCUUUGGAAACUGUAGAGCUAGAGUGCAGGAGAGGUAAGUGGAAUUCCUAGUGUAGCGGUGAAAUGCGUAGAUAUUAGGAGGAACACCAGUGGCGAAGGCGGCUUACUGGACUGUAACUGACGUUGAGGCUCGAAGGCGCGGGGAGCAAACAGGAUUAGAUACCCUGGUA